UACGGGGGGGGCAAGCGUUGUUCGGAAUUACUGGGCGUAAAGGGCUCGUAGGCGGCCAACUAAGUCGGAUGUGAAAUCCCCAGGCUUAACCUGGGAACUGCAUCCGAUACUGGAUGGCUUGAAUCCGGGAGAGGGAUGCAGAAUUCCAGGUGUAGCGGUGAAAUGCGUAGAUAUCUGGAGGAACACCGGUGGCGAAGGCGGCAUCCUGGACCGACACUGACACUGAAAAGCGAAAGCCAGGGGAGCAAACGGG
Molecule: ribosomal RNA, 253 nt
Filed under: uncultured bacterium
Lineage: Bacteria
Description: partial 16S ribosomal RNA
Rfam family: Bacterial small subunit ribosomal RNA
Source: RNAcentral